Molecule: ribosomal RNA, 70 nt
Filed under: Scolecobasidium dendroides
Lineage: Eukaryota; Fungi; Ascomycota; Dothideomycetes; Venturiales; Sympoventuriaceae
Description: partial 28S ribosomal RNA
Rfam family: Eukaryotic large subunit ribosomal RNA (bases 14-70)
Source: RNAcentral
AACUUCUCAAGUUUGGCCUCGGAUCAGGCGGGGAUACCCGCUGAACUUAAGCAUAUCAAUAAGCGGAGGA